GCUUGUCUCAAAGAUUAAGCCAUGCAUGUCUAAGUAUAAACGACUUUAUACAGUGAAACUGCGAAUGGCUCAUUAAAUCAGUUAUAGUUUAUUUGAUAAUACCUUACUACUUGGAUAACCGUGGUAAUUCUAGAGCUAAUACAUGCGCCCAAACCCAACUUCUUGGAAGGGUUGUGUUUAUUAGAUACAGAACCAACCCAGGCUCCGCCUGGCCUUGAGGUGAUUCACAAUAACCGAACGAAUCGCAUAGCUGCCGCUGGCGAUAGACCAUUCAAGUUUCUGACCUAUCAGCU
This 293-nucleotide ribosomal RNA is filed under the name uncultured fungus. Its description in RNAcentral is "partial small subunit ribosomal RNA". It matches the Rfam family "Eukaryotic small subunit ribosomal RNA", at positions 30 to 320 of the family's 1831-position model. Lineage: Eukaryota; Fungi. The record is from RNAcentral.